GAUGAACGCUGGCGGCGUGCCUAAUACAUGCAAGUAGAACGCUGAAGGCGGAGCUUGCUCUUCUGGAUGAGUUGCGAACGGGUGAGUAACGCGUAGGUAACCUGCCUGGUAGCGGGGGAUAACUAUUGGAAACGAUAGCUAAUACCGCAUGACAACAGCUAUUGCAUGAUAACUGUUGAAAAGGGGCAACUGCUCCACUACCAGACGGACCUUCGUUGUAUUAGCUAGUUGGUGAGGUAACGGCUCACCAAGGCGACGAUACAUAGCCGACCUGAGAGGGGGGUCAGCCGCACUGGGAGUGAGACAGGGCACAGACGCCUACAGGAGGCAGCAGUAGGGAAUCGUCGGCAAGGGACGGAAGUCUGAGCGAGCAACGCCGCGUGAGUGAGGAGGGUUUUCGGAUCGUAGAGCUCUGUUGUAAGAGAAGAACGAGUGUGAGAGUGGAAAGUUCACACUGUGACGGUAUCUUACCAGAAAGGGACGGCUAACUACGUG
This 495-nucleotide ribosomal RNA is filed under the name uncultured bacterium. RNAcentral's name for it is "partial 16S ribosomal RNA". It matches the Rfam family "Bacterial small subunit ribosomal RNA", at positions 28 to 507 of the family's 1533-position model. The record is from RNAcentral.